Molecule: ribosomal RNA, 551 nt
Filed under: Photobacterium sp. B72-02
Lineage: Bacteria; Pseudomonadati; Pseudomonadota; Gammaproteobacteria; Vibrionales; Vibrionaceae
Description: bacterial SSU rRNA
Rfam family: Bacterial small subunit ribosomal RNA
Source: RNAcentral
CCUUCGGGGAACGUUAAGGGCGGCGAGCGGCGGACGGGUGAGUAAUGCCUGGGAAUAUGCCCUGAUGUGGGGGAUAACUAUUGGAAACGAUAGCUAAUACCGCAUAAUCUCUUCGGAGCAAAGAGGGGGACCUUCGGGCCUCUCGCGUCAGGAUUAGCCCAGGUGGGAUUAGCUUGUUGGUGAGGUAAUGGCUCACCAAGGCAACGAUCCCUAGCUGGUCUGAGAGGAUGAUCAGCCACACUGGAACUGAGACACGGUCCAGACUCCUACGGGAGGCAGCAGUGGGGAAUAUUGCACAAUGGGGGAAACCCUGAUGCAGCCAUGCCGCGUGUGUGAAGAAGGCCUUCGGGUUGUAAAGCACUUUCAGUAGGGAGGAAGGUAGUGUAGUUAACACCUGCAUUAUUUGACGUUACCUACAGAAGAAGCACCGGCUAACUCCGUGCCAGCAGCCGCGGUAAUACGGAGGGUGCGAGCGUUAAUCGGAAUUACUGGGCGUAAAGCGCAUGCAGGCGGCCUGUUAAGUCAGAUGUGAAAGCCCGGGGCUUAACCUC